CCUCCCUAAACACAGAUAAAAUCCUAAAACUACGAAAAACAAUAAAAAAAAGGAGAGAGACACAAAGGCUGGCAAAGCAGCGGCAAGUGACAACAGGUGACACGGUGGUGAUAAAUUUCAGGUUCGUUUUUUUCUCUUCUCUCUUCUCUAUUGAUUUUGUUUCUUUUGUAUGUGCAAUAUGCACAGUGUUUUAUGGUUUUGGAUGAAAGUUGAAAUUGUCAUAAUAGUUGUGGCUUUGUGAGGGAUAUAGAUGAAUGAUAAGUGGUUGAUUUAGGAGUAUAUAUUGUAUCAUAUAUUGUUCGGAAGUGUAGUCAAUGGUUGUAUCAUAUUGGUUUGGUUUUUGGCAAAUCUAAGGUAAAAGUUUCAAGUUUUAUUCUCAAAUUACUUUUGUCACUAAACCAAUAAACCAGAAAAAUCAAGAAAAUUUGUUUAUGAUAUUGUAUGACUAAAUCAAAGCAUAACACUAAAUCAAUAAUAAUAGUAUAUCACUAAAUUAAUAACAUUAAGAUUUGCUUCGCAUCUUUAUGGAUCGAUCAAUGUUGUGGUAAAAAUCCCGCACAAAACAGAAACUUGGAGAAAUUUGGGGGAAGGAAAAAAUGGCAUUUUUUUGGGGUGACAUGUCUUUUUGUCU
This 631-nucleotide long non-coding RNA is filed under the name Trifolium pratense (red clover). RNAcentral describes it as "long non-coding RNA (TPRA_LNC009556)". The record is from RNAcentral. Lineage: Eukaryota; Viridiplantae; Streptophyta; Magnoliopsida; Fabales; Fabaceae.